GCCGGCGUAGCUCAGUUGGCAGAGCAGCUGAUUUGUAAUCAGCGGGUCGCGGGUUCGAAUCCUGCCGCCGGCU
Molecule: transfer RNA, 73 nt
Filed under: Bacillota bacterium
Lineage: Bacteria; Bacillati; Bacillota
Also listed under: 3 other names
Description: Firmicutes bacterium (hot springs metagenome) tRNA-Thr
Rfam family: tRNA
About the family: Transfer RNA (tRNA) molecules are approximately 80 nucleotides in length.
Source: RNAcentral